RNAcentral lists this ribosomal RNA (482 nucleotides) under uncultured bacterium. Its description in RNAcentral is "bacterial SSU rRNA". It matches the Rfam family "Bacterial small subunit ribosomal RNA", at positions 62 to 509 of the family's 1533-position model. The record is from RNAcentral.
UCGAACGAAAUGUCCCAAUGAAAAGGAAGUACUUAUACUGAAAAGGAUUUGGAUUCACAUCUAGUGGCGAACGGGUGAGUAACGGGUAGGCAACCUGCCCUCACGGGGAUACCAGUUGGAAACGACUGUUAAUACCGGAUAGGAUAUAAAACCGCAUGGUUUAAUAUUUAAAGGAGCUUUUGCUUCACUUGAGGAUGGGCCUGCUUUGUAUUAGAUAGUUGGUGAGGUAAUGGCUCACCAAGUCAACGAUGCAUAGCCGAACUGAGAGGUUGAACGGCCACACUGGAACUGAGACACGGUCCAGACUCCUACGGGAGGCAGCAGUUAGGGAUAUUGGGCAAUGGAGGAAACUCUGACCCAGCAAUGCCGCGUGAGUGAAGAAGUAUUUCGGUAUGUAAAACUCUGUUGUAUGGGAGAAAGAACUAGUAGAAAUGGCUAGGAGAUGACUGUACCAUACGAGAAGUCACGGCUAACUACGUGCC